AGCGGGUUCCCUCGCAAUGAUAGGCAGUGAACUCCGCCAGGCCCGGAAGGGAGCAACGGUAAUUGCUGA
RNAcentral lists this signal recognition particle RNA (69 nucleotides) under Cellvibrionales bacterium. RNAcentral describes it as "partial signal recognition particle sRNA small type". It matches the Rfam family "Bacterial small signal recognition particle RNA", at positions 1 to 69 of the family's 97-position model. Rfam says of the family: The signal recognition particle (SRP) is a universally conserved ribonucleoprotein involved in the co-translational targeting of proteins to membranes. Archaeal SRP consists of a 7S RNA and homologues of the eukaryotic SRP19 and SRP54 proteins. Lineage: Bacteria; Pseudomonadati; Pseudomonadota; Gammaproteobacteria; Cellvibrionales. The record is from RNAcentral.